Molecule: ribosomal RNA, 598 nt
Filed under: Lactiplantibacillus plantarum
Lineage: Bacteria; Bacillati; Bacillota; Bacilli; Lactobacillales; Lactobacillaceae
Description: bacterial SSU rRNA
Rfam family: Bacterial small subunit ribosomal RNA
Source: RNAcentral
AUGGACGAAAGUCUGAUGGAGCAACGCCGCGUGAGUGAAGAAGGGUUUCGGCUCGUAAAACUCUGUUGUUAAAGAAGAACAUAUCUGAGAGUAACUGUUCAGGUAUUGACGGUAUUUAACCAGAAAGCCACGGCUAACUACGUGCCAGCAGCCGCGGUAAUACGUAGGUGGCAAGCGUUGUCCGGAUUUAUUGGGCGUAAAGCGAGCGCAGGCGGUUUUUUAAGUCUGAUGUGAAAGCCUUCGGCUCAACCGAAGAAGUGCAUCGGAAACUGGGGAACUUGAGUGCAGAAGAGGACAGUGGAACUCCAUGUGUAGCGGUGAAAUGCGUAGAUAUAUGGAAGAACACCAGUGGCGAAGGCGGCUGUCUGGUCUGUAACUGACGCUGAGGCUCGAAAGUAUGGGUAGCAAACAGGAUUAGAUACCCUGGUAGUCCAUACCGUAAACGAUGAAUGCUAAGUGUUGGAAGGUUUCCGCCCUUCAGUGCUGCAGCUAACGCAUUAAGCAUUCCGCCUGGGGAGUACCGCCGCAAGGCUGAAACUCAAAGGAAUUGACGGGGGCCCGCACAAGCGGUGGAGCAUGUGGUUUAAUUCGAAGCUAC